This 844-nucleotide ribosomal RNA is filed under the name uncultured bacterium. Its description in RNAcentral is "bacterial SSU rRNA". It matches the Rfam family "Bacterial small subunit ribosomal RNA", at positions 8 to 844 of the family's 1533-position model. The record is from RNAcentral.
AGAGUUUGAUCCUGGCUCAGGAUGAACGCUAGCUACAGGCUUAACACAUGCAAGUCGAGGGGCAGCAUUAUCGGAGCUUGCUUUGAUAGAUGGCGACCGGCGCACGGGUGAGUAACGCGUAUCCAACCUUCCCCUUAGUAGAGGAUAGCCCGGCGAAAGUCGGAUUAAUACUCUAUGUUGUAUUUUGAGGACAUCUGACGAAUACCAAAAAUUUAUCGCUAAGGGAUGGGGAUGCGUCUGAUUAGCUUGUCGGCGGGGUAACGGCCCACCGAGGCGACGAUCAGUAGGGGUUCUGAGAGGAAGGUCCCCCACAUUGGUACUGAGACACGGACCAAACUCCUACGGGAGGCAGCAGUGAGGAAUAUUGGUCAAUGGGCGUAGGCCUGAACCAGCCAAGUAGCGUGCAGGAUGACUGCCCUAUGGGUUGUAAACUGCUUUUAUGCGGGAAUAAAGUCAGGUACGGGUACCUGUUUGCAUGUACCGCAUGAAUAAGGACCGGCUAAUUCCGUGCCAGCAGCCGCGGUAAUACGGAAGGUCCGGGCGUUAUCCGGAUUUAUUGGGUUUAAAGGGAGCGCAGGCGGAGGAUUAAGCGUGACGUGAAAUGUCCCGGCUCAACCGUGGAACUGCGUCGCGAACUGGUUUUCUUGAGUGAGUGCGACGUCGGCGGAAUUCGUGGUGUAGCGGUGAAAUGCUUAGAUAUCACGAAGAACCCCGAUUGCGAAGGCAGCCGACGAGUCCUUAACUGACGCUAAAGCUCGAAAGUGCGGGUAUCGAACAGGAUUAGAUACCCUGGUAGUCCGCACGGUAAACCAUAAAAGCCCCCUGUUUGCGAUAUCCUGUGAGC